AGUUGUUCGUGUAACAGAAGGAACGAUAGGUGUGGGAUUUAAGCGGGCGAGAAAUUCAAGACGGCCGUCACGUUACCCCUAGCAACCACCAAAAGGUCUGUGACCCCGAGCAUCCAGCGUCUGACCUCUUGACCUCUGAUCGAUCGGUUCCGUCUGCGACCUCUGACCUCUGACUGUUACUGUCUGGCAGUGAUGUAAUGACCGUGAAACGGUCUGGAGCUCUCAGCCAGCUGUGGGAGAUAUCCCCUUGCCUUUUUUGACGUUUCUUUGUUUCUUUUUAAAAAUAAAAUAAAACGCUGUAAAUUUGG
Anguilla rostrata (American eel) is the source of this 308-nucleotide long non-coding RNA. RefSeq lists it as uncharacterized. The record is from RefSeq and is a predicted model, not a curated record. Lineage: Eukaryota; Metazoa; Chordata; Actinopteri; Anguilliformes; Anguillidae. The transcript is spliced from 2 exons.